RNAcentral lists this ribosomal RNA (537 nucleotides) under uncultured bacterium. RNAcentral describes it as "bacterial SSU rRNA". It matches the Rfam family "Bacterial small subunit ribosomal RNA", at positions 974 to 1509 of the family's 1533-position model. The record is from RNAcentral.
CCUGGCCUUGACAUACUAAGAACUUUCCAGAGAUGGAUUGGUGCCUUCGGGAACUUAGAUACAGGUGCUGCAUGGCUGUCGUCAGCUCGUGUCGUGAGAUGUUGGGUUAAGUCCCCGCAACGAGCGCAACCCUUUUCCUUAUUUGCCAGCGGGUUAAGCCGGGAACUUUAAGGAUACUGCCAGUGACAAACUGGAGGAAGGCGGGGACGACGUCAAGUCAUCAUGGCCCUUACGGCCAGGGCUACACACGUGCUACAAUGGUCGGUACAAAGGGUUGCUACCUCGCGAGAGGAUGCUAAUCUCAAAAAGCCGAUCGUAGUCCGGAUCGCAGUCUGCAACUCGACUGCGUGAAGUCGGAAUCGCUAGUAAUCGCGGAUCAGAAUGCCGCGGUGAAUACGUUCCCGGGCCUUGUACACACCGCCCGUCACACCAUGGGAGUUUGUUGCACCAGAAGUAGGUAGUCUAACCGCAAGGAGGACGCUUACCACGGUGUGGCCGAUGACUGGGGUGAAGUCGUAACAAGGUAGGCGUAGAUGA